ACUCCUACGGGAGGCAGCAGUAAGGAAUAUUGCGCAAUGGACGAAAGUCUGACGCAGCGACGCCGCGUGGGGGAUGAAGGUCUUCGGAUUGUAAACCCCUUUCGGGAGGGAAGACGGAGUGGGUAACCACUUGGACGGUACCUCCAGAAGCAGCCACGGCUAACUUCGUGCCAGCAGCCGCGGUAAUACGAAGGUGGCAAGCGUUGUUCGGAUUCACUGGGCGUACAGGGAGCGUAGGCGGUUGGGUAAGCCCUCCGUGAAAUCUCCGGGCCUAACCCGGAAAGUGCAGAGGGGACUGCUCAGCUAGAGGAUGGGAGAGGAGCGCGGAAUUCCCG
Molecule: ribosomal RNA, 335 nt
Filed under: uncultured bacterium
Lineage: Bacteria
Description: bacterial SSU rRNA
Rfam family: Bacterial small subunit ribosomal RNA
Source: RNAcentral